Molecule: ribosomal RNA, 484 nt
Filed under: uncultured bacterium
Lineage: Bacteria
Description: partial 16S ribosomal RNA
Rfam family: Bacterial small subunit ribosomal RNA
Source: RNAcentral
AUUGAACGCUGGCGGCAUGCUUUACACAUGCAAGUCGAACGGCAGCGCGGGCUUCGGCCUGGCGGCGAGUGGCGAACGGGUGAGUAAUACAUCGGAACGUGCCCAGUCGUGGGGGAUAUCUCGGCGAAAGCCGGAUUAAUACCGCAUACGACCUGAGGGUGAAAGUGGGGGAUCUUCGGACCUCGCGCUAUUGUAGCUGCCGGUGUCAGAUUAGCUAGUUGGUGGGGUAAAGGCCUACCAAGGCGUCGAUCGGUAGCUGGUCUGAGAGGACGACCAGCCACACUGGGACUGAGAAACGGCCCAGACUCCUACGGGAGGCAGCAGUGGGGAAUUUUGGACAAUGGGCGAGAGCCUGAUCCAGCAAUGCCGCGUGUGUGAUGAAGGCCUUCGGGUUGGAAAGCACUUUUGGCGGGAACGAAAAGGAAUGUGCCAAUACCACGGUUCGAUGACGGUACCCGCAGAAUAAGCACCGGCUAACUACGUG